GCCGUGAGCCAUAGAGCUGACAUUGUUCUGCUUCUUGGUUUUGGCAGGAUGCUGACGUUCAAAGCCGUUGCUCAGGUUUUAAUUCUGGGCUCUUCUUGGGACCUUGGCUUCUUUCUGGUGGAAGGAGUGCUGGACCCUGUCAGGUUGGUGAUGACCUUCACCUCAUCAGCAUCCUCCAGGGCGUCCAUGUCUACUUGGUCCACUGCCUUCUGAAUCACAAGGUAACACUACCUGCUGCUGCUAAAGUUGUAGUCUCUCCCUGUCUGCCAGAGAUUACUCUCACUGCUCUCUUCAGAAGCAGACAAAGGGAGCUGACCACGGAAUGGGGCAGUGAGGGUGAGGAAUACAGAAUACUCGUGUCUGUGGGCCACCCAGUGACUCCUGAGUGGACUUCUUGAUGGUUUCCACAACACAGUGAGUAGGAGCUGUGUCCCCCUCACGUAUUCUGAGAUUCCUUUCUGCCAUUCUUUCAAGCUCUUCCCACCCCCCUACACCCUACCCCAAUCCUGGAACUCAAUGGGGCACUUGUAGAAAUCUGGACUUCCAUGAAGGCUCUCUCAUACAUGGGUGAUUGUCUAAGUCCGUGUUUUCCAAGGUCUCCUGGACUAUGGCUAAAAGGGACUGCAGCAAGUUAAUGGGCCACUGCAAGGACCACAGCUGGGACCACGGUGUGUCUGUCUGUUACCUGAUGCAAAGGUGAGUGAGACGCUGCACAGAUCCCCUGACAUAUGGUGCUGGACCCCCCCCCCCCAGCUCCUACAAGCUACUUUUGUUAAUGAAUGGAUGCUGGAUUUGUGUUGGGGGAGGGGGCUGGGGUGCAGGAAGAGGAGAAAAAACAAGGGUCUUAUGCCACCAUGAUGCUGACAUAUAGCAGUUUAUUUCUUUUUAUUAAAAAAAAUUUUUUUUAAUGUUUAUUUUCACGACAGACACAGAGCGUGAGCAGGGGAGGGGCAGAGAGAGAAGAAGACACAGAAUCCAAAGAAGGUUCCAGUCUCUGAGCUGUCAGCACAGAGCCCGAUGUGGGGCUCAAACUCACGGACCACGAGAUCACAACCUGAGCUGAAGUCAGACGCUCAACUGACUGAGCCACGCAGGCGCCCCUGGUUAGUACAGACAUUUUAACAAGAUUUUUUCUUCCAAUCUAUGAACAUGGAGUGUUUUUCCAUUUCUUUGUGUCCUCUUCAAUUUCUUUUAUUUUGUUAAUGUUUAUUUUUGACAGAGCAUGAGUGGGGGCGGGGCAGAGAGACAGGGAGACACAGAAUCCAACGUGGGCUCCAGACUCUGAGCUGUCAGCACAGAGCCCAACGUGGGGCUCAAACUCAUAAACUGUGAGAUCAUGACCUGAGCCGAAGUCGGUCGCUCAACCGACUGAGCCACCCAGACGCCCCAUACAGCAGU
RNAcentral lists this long non-coding RNA (1398 nucleotides) under Felis catus (domestic cat). Its description in RNAcentral is "lncRNA (ENSFCAG00000050250.1)". Lineage: Eukaryota; Metazoa; Chordata; Mammalia; Carnivora; Felidae. The record is from RNAcentral.